Molecule: ribosomal RNA, 271 nt
Filed under: uncultured archaeon
Lineage: Archaea
Description: partial 16S ribosomal RNA
Rfam family: Archaeal small subunit ribosomal RNA
Source: RNAcentral
CAGCGCCACAAGUGGGAAUCGCUUUUAUUGGGCCUAAAGCGUCCGUAGCCGGUCUAGUAAAUCUCUUGUGAAAUCGUUCGGCUCAACCGAGCGGCGUGCAGGAGACACUGCCAGACUAGGGACCGGGAGGGGUCAGAUGUAUUCUGGGGGGAGCGGUAAAAUGCUAUAAUCCUCAGAGGACAACCGGUGGCGAAGGCGUCUGACCAGAACGGAUCCGACGGUGAGGGACGAAAGCCAGGGGAGCAAACCGGAUUAGAGACCCGAGUAGUCC